This is a long non-coding RNA of Rhincodon typus (whale shark), 334 nucleotides long. RefSeq lists it as uncharacterized. The transcript has 3 exons. The record is from RefSeq and is a predicted model, not a curated record. Lineage: Eukaryota; Metazoa; Chordata; Chondrichthyes; Orectolobiformes; Rhincodontidae.
AGGGUCUGUAUGGUUCUUUGUUACAAGAUGUUCUGUAAGGCAGUUAGGACCUUAAAGGGUGAAUUGACAUCGUAAAGAUAAAUUCAACCCAUCAUGACAGCUCAUGUAUGGGGACCAUAAUCGUGCACAGUUUUUGAAAACAUUGCUCCAAUCUUGGAUUGGAUCUCAAUUGUCAGAGAAGGUGAAAGGUGUGGGAAAAAGGAGCAAAAAUUCAUAAAGCUGCACAAAAGGCCAUCAGUCAAGGUCUUAGGAAAGCUUUGAAAGGACACGAUCAAUGGAAGAAUGUCAGCAGAAACAUCAAGGUGACAGCUAACACCGCUCCUUGGUUAUUGCA